ACCCUGGUCGCACUGCUGCCGCCCGGAGCUCUCUGCGAAGUCUGGACGCAGAGGCUGCACGGCGGCAGCGCGCCCUUGCCCCAGGACCGGGGCUUCCUCGUGGUGCAGGGCGACCCGCGCGAGCUGCGGCUGUGGGAGCGCGGGGAUGCCAGGGGGGCGAGCCGCGCGGACGAGAAGCCGCUCCGGAGGAAACGGAGCGCUGCCCUGCAGCCCGAGCCCAUCAAGGUGUACGGACAGGUUAGUCUGAAUGAUUCCCACAAUCAGAUGGUGGUGCACUGGGCUGGAGAGAAAAGCAACGUGAUCGUGGCCUUGGCCCGAGAUAGCCUGGCAUUGGCGAGGCCCAAGAGCAGUGAUGUGUACGUGUCUUACGACUACGGAAAAUCAUUCAAGAAAAUUUCAGACAAGUUAAACUUUGGCGUGGGAAAUAGGAGUGAAGCUGUGAUCGCCCAGUUCUACCACAGCCCUGCGGACAACAAGCGGUACAUCUUUGCAGACGCUUAUGCCCAGUACCUCUGGAUCACGUUUGACUUCUGCAACACUCUUCAAGGCUUUUCCAUCCCAUUUCGGGCAGCUGAUCUCCUCCUACACAGUAAGGCCUCCAACCUUCUCUUGGGCUUCGACAGGUCCCACCCCAACAAGCAGCUGUGGAAGUCAGAUGACUUUGGCCAGACCUGGAUCAUGAUUCAGGAACAUGUCAAGUCCUUUUCUUGGGGAAUUGAUCCCUAUGACAAACCAAAUACCAUCUACAUUGAACGACAUGAACCCUCUGGCUACUCCACUGUUUUCCGAAGUACAGAUUUCUUCCAGUCCCGGGAAAACCAGGAAGUGAUCCUUGAGGAAGUGAGAGAUUUUCAGCUUCGGGACAAGUACAUGUUUGCUACAAAGGUGGUGCAUCUCUUGGGCAGUGAACAGCAGUCUUCUGUCCAGCUCUGGGUCUCCUUUGGCCGGAAGCCCAUGCGAGCAGCCCAGUUUGUCACAAGACAUCCUAUUAAUGAAUAUUACAUCGCAGAUGCCUCCGAGGACCAGGUGUUUGUCUGUGUCAGCCACAGUAACAACCGCACCAAUUUAUACAUCUCAGAGGCAGAGGGGCUGAAGUUCUCCCUGUCCUUGGAGAACGUGCUCUAUUACAGCCCAGGAGGGGCCGGCAGUGACACCUUGGUGAGGUAUUUUGCAAAUGAGCCAUUUGCUGACUUCCACCGAGUGGAAGGAUUGCAAGGAGUCUACAUUGCUACUCUGAUUAAUGGUUCUAUGAAUGAGGAGAACAUGAGAUCAGUCAUCACCUUUGACAAAGGGGGAACCUGGGAGUUUCUUCAGGCUCCAGCCUUCACGGGAUAUGGAGAGAAAAUCAAUUGUGAGCUUUCCCAGGGCUGUUCCCUUCAUCUGGCUCAGCGCCUCAGUCAGCUCCUCAACCUCCAGCUCCGGAGAAUGCCCAUCCUGUCCAAGGAGUCGGCUCCAGGCCUCAUCAUCGCCACUGGCUCAGUGGGAAAGAACUUGGCUAGCAAGACAAACGUGUACAUCUCUAGCAGUGCUGGAGCCAGGUGGCGAGAGGCACUUCCUGGACCUCACUACUACACGUGGGGAGACCACGGCGGAAUCAUCACGGCCAUUGCCCAGGGCAUGGAAACCAAUGAGCUAAAAUACAGUACCAAUGAAGGGGAGACCUGGAAAACAUUCAUCUUCUCUGAGAAGCCAGUGUUUGUGUAUGGCCUCCUCACAGAACCCGGGGAGAAGAGCACUGUCUUCACCAUCUUUGGCUCGAACAAAGAGAAUGUCCACAGCUGGCUGAUCCUCCAGGUCAAUGCCACGGAUGCCUUGGGAGUUCCCUGCACAGAGAAUGACUACAAGCUGUGGUCACCAUCUGAUGAGCGGGGGAAUGAGUGUUUGCUGGGACACAAGACUGUUUUCAAACGGAGGACCCCCCAUGCCACAUGCUUCAAUGGAGAGGACUUUGACAGGCCGGUGGUCGUGUCCAACUGCUCCUGCACCCGGGAGGACUAUGAGUGAUUCUGCCUUGGUCACAUGCAGAUUCUGCCUCAGGAGUUCUGGGGCUCUGCGUUUCCAUCAAGCUCCCAAGGGAUGUGGAUGCUGCUUAUCUGCACAUUCGCCCUUUGAGCAGCAAGGCUUAGAACAGAGAAGACAGUCAUUUCCUUAGAAAGGUGUGUGCU
Molecule: small RNA, 2165 nt
Filed under: Pan troglodytes (chimpanzee)
Lineage: Eukaryota; Metazoa; Chordata; Mammalia; Primates; Hominidae
Description: processed transcript
Source: RNAcentral